This 56-nucleotide transfer RNA is filed under the name Calanus glacialis. Its description in RNAcentral is "tRNA-Ser". Lineage: Eukaryota; Metazoa; Arthropoda; Copepoda; Calanoida; Calanidae. The record is from RNAcentral.
AACUAUUUUAAAAGGUGUCUUGAAAACACCCAUAAGAAAAAACCUUCUAAUAGUUU